CGAAAGCCUGACGGAGCAAUACCGCGUGAGGGAGGAAGGUUUUUGGAUUGUAAACCCCUUUUCUCAGGGAAGAACAAAUGACGGUACCUGAGGAAUCAGCCUCGGCUAACUCCGUGCCAGCAGCCGCGGUAAUACGGAGGAGGCAAGCGUUAUCCGGAAUUAUUGGGCGUAAAGCGUCCGCAGGUGGCGAUUCAAGUCUGCUGUCAAAGCACGGGGCUUAACUCCGUAAAGGCAGUGGAAACUGAAUAGCUAGAGUGCCGUAGGGGUAGAGGGAAUUCCCGGUGUAGCGGUGAAAUGCGUAGAGAUCGGGAAGAACAUCGGUGGCGAAAGCGCUCUACUGGACGGCAACUGACACUCAGGGACGAAAGCUAGGGGAGCG
This 379-nucleotide ribosomal RNA is filed under the name uncultured cyanobacterium. Its description in RNAcentral is "bacterial SSU rRNA". It matches the Rfam family "Bacterial small subunit ribosomal RNA", at positions 376 to 770 of the family's 1533-position model. Lineage: Bacteria; Bacillati; Cyanobacteriota. The record is from RNAcentral.